Molecule: ribosomal RNA, 253 nt
Filed under: uncultured bacterium
Lineage: Bacteria
Description: partial 16S ribosomal RNA
Rfam family: Bacterial small subunit ribosomal RNA
Source: RNAcentral
UACGAACGGGGCUAGCGUUGCUCGGAAUGGCUGGGCGUAAAGGGCGCGUAGGCGGAUGGCUUUGUCGGGCGUGAAAUUCCAGGGCUUAACCUUGGGGCUGCGUUCGAGACGGGUUGUCUUGAGUGGGGAAGAGGGUCGUGGAAUUCCCAGUGUAGAGGUGAAAUUCGUAGAUAUUGGGAAGAACACCGGUGGCGAAGGCGGCGACCUGGUCCUUUACUGACGCUGAGGCGCGAAAGCGUGGGGAGCAAACAGG